GACGAACGCUGGCGGCGUGCCUAAUACAUGCAAGUAGAACGCUGAAGGAGGAGCUUGCUUCUCUGGAUGAGUUGCGAACGGGUGAGUAACGCGUAGGUAACCUGCCUGGUAGCGGGGGAUAACUAUUGGAAACGAUAGCUAAUACCGCAUAACAGUAGAUAUCGCAUGAUAUCUACUUGAAAGGUGCAAUUGCAUCACUACCAGAUGGACCUGCGUUGUAUUAGCUAGUUGGUGAGGUAACGGCUCACCAAGGCGACGAUACAUAGCCGACCUGAGAGGGGGAUCGGCCACCCUGGGACUGAGACACGGCCCAGACUCCUACGGGAGGCAGCAGUAGGGAAUCUUCGGCAAUGGACGGAAGUCUGACCGAGCAACGCCGCGGGAGUGAAGAAGGGUUUCGGAUCGUAAAGCUCUGUUGUAAGAGAAGAACGAGUGUGAGAGUGGAAAGUCCACACUGUGACGGUAUCUUACCAGAAAGGGACGGCUAACUACGUG
This 495-nucleotide ribosomal RNA is filed under the name uncultured bacterium. Its description in RNAcentral is "partial 16S ribosomal RNA". It matches the Rfam family "Bacterial small subunit ribosomal RNA", at positions 28 to 507 of the family's 1533-position model. The record is from RNAcentral.